CCCCAAGCUGAAGCGCCCCAGGAACCUGAAGUCCCGACUCCCGAACCAUCUUCCGUGCGUGUUGAGACGGACCCAUCGUUUUGGGCUCACGAAUAAAAGCUGUUUAAGCUCAACCUUGUUUCCCUUCUUUUUUUUUCUUUUUUCUUUUGGGCUUUGGAGAAUAUGUGCUGUCUAGUUUUGAUUCAUAUCCAACUACACGGUGUAUGGG
This 208-nucleotide long non-coding RNA is filed under the name Brachypodium distachyon (stiff brome). RNAcentral's name for it is "long non-coding RNA (BDIS_LNC001484)". Lineage: Eukaryota; Viridiplantae; Streptophyta; Magnoliopsida; Poales; Poaceae. The record is from RNAcentral.